UUGGUUAAGUUAGAAAGGGCGCACGGUGGAUGCCUUGGCACUAGGAGCCGAAGAAGGACGGGACUAACACCGAUAUGCUUUGGGGAGCUGUACGUAAGCGUUGAUCCAGAGAUUUCCGAAUGGGGGAACCCACUAUCUUUAGUCGGAUAGUAUCCUUACGUGAAUACAUAGCGUGAGGAAGGCAGACCCAGGGAACUGAAACAUCUAAGUACCUGGAGGAAGAGAAAGAAAAAUCGAUUUCCUGAGUAGCGGCGAGCGAAACGGAAAGAGCCCAAACCAAGAAGCUUGCUUCUUGGGGUUGUAGGACACUCUAUACGGAGUUACAAAAGAAAGUUAUAAAUGAAGCGGUCUGGAAAGGCCCGCCAAAGACGGUAACAGCCCGGUAGUUGAAAUAGCUUUCCCUCCAGAGUGGAUCCUGAGUACGGCGGAACACGUGAAAUUCCGUCGGAAUCCGGGAGGACCAUCUCCCAAGGCUAAAUACUCCCUAGUGACCGAUAGUGAACCAGUACCGUGAGGGAAAGGUGAAAAGCACCCCGGAAGGGGAGUGAAACAGUUCCUGAAACCGUGUGCCUACAAGUAGUUAGAGCCCGUUAAUGGGUGAUAGCGUGCCUUUUGUAGAAUGAACCGGCGAGUUACGAUUUGUUGCAAGGUUAAGCGGAAAAAGCGGAGCCGUAGCGAAAGCGAGUCUGAAUAGGGCGCAUAAGUAACAGGUCGUAGACCCGAAACCAGGUGAUCUACCCAUGUCCAGGAUGAAGGUAAGGUAAUACUUACUGGAGGUCCGAACCCACGCACGUUGAAAAGUGCGGGGAUGAGGUGUGGGUAGCGGAGAAAUUCCAAUCGAACUUGGAGAUAGCUGGUUCUCUCCGAAAUAGCUUUAGGGCUAGCCUCGAGGUAAAGAGUCAUGGAGGUAGAGCACUGUUUGGACUAGGGGCCCUUCUCGGGUUACCGAAUUCAGAUAAACUCCGAAUGCCAUGUACUUAUACUCGGGAGUCAGACUGCGAGUGAUAAGAUCCGUAGUCGAAAGGGAAACAGCCCAGACCACCAGUUAAGGUCCCCAAAUAUAUGUUAAGUGGAAAAGGAUGUGGGGUUGCUUAGACAACCAGGAUGUUGGCUUAGAAGCAGCCACCAUUGAAAGAGUGCGUAAUAGCUCACUGGUCGAGUGACCCCGCGCCGAAAAUGUACCGGGGCUAAACAUAUUACCGAAACUGUGGAUGAACCUCUUCGGAGGUUCGUGGUAGGAGAGCGUUCUAAGGGCGGUGAAGUCAGACCGGAAGGACUGGUGGAGCGCUUAGAAGUGAGAAUGCCGGUAUGAGUAGCGAAAGAAGGGUGAGAAUCCCUUCCACCGAAUAUCUAAGGUUUCCUGAGGAAGGCUCGUCCGCUCAGGGUUAGUCGGGACCUAAGCCGAGGCCGAUAGGCGUAGGCGAUGGACAACAGGUAGAGAUUCCUGUACCAGUGCUAAUUGUUUAACCGAUGGGGUGACACAGAAGGAUAGGGAAUCGCACGAAUGGAAAUGUGCGUCCAAGCAGUGAGUGUGAGAAGUAGGCAAAUCCGCUUCUCGCGAAGCAU
Molecule: ribosomal RNA, 1566 nt
Filed under: Listeria welshimeri
Lineage: Bacteria; Bacillati; Bacillota; Bacilli; Caryophanales; Listeriaceae
Description: partial 23S ribosomal RNA
Rfam family: Bacterial large subunit ribosomal RNA
Source: RNAcentral